This 483-nucleotide ribosomal RNA is filed under the name uncultured bacterium. RNAcentral describes it as "bacterial SSU rRNA". It matches the Rfam family "Bacterial small subunit ribosomal RNA", at positions 31 to 507 of the family's 1533-position model. The record is from RNAcentral.
GAUAGAACGCUAGCGGCAGGCCUAAUACAUGCAAGUCGAACGGAUAUAUGUUUUUCGGAAUAUAUAUUAGUGGCGCACGGGUGAGUAACACGUACAUAACUUGCCCUCAAGCGGGGGAUAGCCUUGGGAAACUGAGAGUAAUACCCCAUAGAAUUAUUGGACGGCAUCGUUUGAUAAUUAAAACUACGGUGCUUGGGGAUAGAUGUGCGUCUGAUUAGCUAGUUGGUGAGGUAACUGCUCACCAAGGCGACGAUUAGUAGGGGGCGUGAGAGCGUGGCCCCCCACACGGGUACUGAGACACGGACCCGACUCCUACGGGAGGCAGCAGUAAGGAAUAUUGGUCAAUGGAGGGAACUCUGAACCAGCCAUGCCGCGUGAAGGAUGACGGCCCUCUGGGUUGUAAACUUCUUUUGGAUGGGGCGAAAAAACGGGAUUUAUCCUGGACUGACGGUACCAUCAGAAUAAGCACCGGCUAACUCCGUG